This 460-nucleotide ribosomal RNA is filed under the name uncultured bacterium. RNAcentral describes it as "partial 16S ribosomal RNA". It matches the Rfam family "Bacterial small subunit ribosomal RNA", at positions 338 to 795 of the family's 1533-position model. The record is from RNAcentral.
CCUACGGGGGGCUGCAGUGAGGAAUAUUGGUCAAUGGACGAGAGUCUGAACCAGCCAAGUAGCGUGAAGGAUGACUGCCCUAUGGGUUGUAAACCUCUUUUGUCAGGGAGCAAUUGGCGCUACGUGUAGCGUUAUCGAGAGGACCUGAAGAAAAAGCAUCGGGUAACUCCGUGCCAGCAGCCGCGGUAAUACGGAGGAUGCGAGCGUUAUCCGGAUUUAUUGGGUUUAAAGGGUGCGUAGGCGGGAUGCCAAGUCAGGGGUAAAAUCGCGGGGCUAAACCUCGCUGCGCCGUUGAAACUGGCGUUCUUGAGUGGGCGAGAAGUAUGCGGAAUGAGUGGUGUAGCGGUGAAAUGUAUAGAUAUCACGCAGAACUCCGAUUGCGAAGGCAGCAUACCGGCGCCCAACUGACGCUGAGGCACGAAAGCGUGGGUAUCGAACAGGAUUAGAUACCCUAGUAGUC